CCAAUAGCGUAUAUUAAAGUUGUUGCAGUUAAAAAGCUCGUAGUUGAAUUUCGGGAUUUGUCAGUUGGUCGGGCUUCACUGUCCGUAUUGACUUGAUGGAUUCUUACCUUCUGAAUAACCAGCAUGCUAUUAAGUUAGUGCGUUGGGGAAGCAGAUCUAUUACCUUGAAAAAAUUAGAGUGCUUAAAGCGAGCUAGUGCUUGAAUAGAUUAGCAUGGAAUAAUAAAAUAGGACGGCAUGGUUCUAUUUUGUUGGUUUCUAGGAUCACCGUAAUGAUUAAUAGGGAUAGUUGGGGGCAUUAGUAUUCAAUUGUCAGAGGUGAAAUUCUUGGAUUUAUUGAAGACUAACUUCUGCGAAAGCAUUUGCCAAGGAUGUUUUCAUUAAUCAAGAACGAAAGUUAGGGGAUCGAAGACGAUCAGAUACCGUCGUAGUCUUAACCAUAAACUAUGCCGACUAGGAAUCGGACGAUGUUAAUUUUAUAAUGACUCGUUCGGCACCUUACG
This 502-nucleotide ribosomal RNA is filed under the name uncultured Glomeromycotina. RNAcentral describes it as "SSU rRNA". It matches the Rfam family "Eukaryotic small subunit ribosomal RNA", at positions 591 to 1092 of the family's 1831-position model. The record is from RNAcentral. Lineage: Eukaryota; Fungi; Glomeromycota.